RNAcentral lists this transfer RNA (73 nucleotides) under Ceramothamnion japonicum. Its description in RNAcentral is "Ceramium japonicum tRNA-Met". It matches the Rfam family "tRNA". Rfam says of the family: Transfer RNA (tRNA) molecules are approximately 80 nucleotides in length. Their secondary structure includes four short double-helical elements and three loops (D, anti-codon, and T loops). The record is from RNAcentral. Lineage: Eukaryota; Rhodophyta; Florideophyceae; Ceramiales; Ceramiaceae.
GCGAGAUAGUUCAAGUGGUUAGAACGGUAGAAUCAUAAUCUAGAAGUUGUAGGUUCGAAUCCUAUUCUCGUUA